GACGAACGCUGGCGGCGUGCUUAACACAUGCCAGUCGAACGGAAAGGCCCUGCUUGCAGGGUGCUCGAGUGGCGAACGGGUGAGUAACACGUGGGUGAUCUGCCCCUUACUUUGGGAUAAGCCUGGGAAACUGGGUCUAAUACUGGAUAGGACCAUGCUGUAGGUGGUGUGGUGGAAAGAUUAGUUUCGGUAAGGGAUGAGCUCGCGGCCUAUCAGCUUGUUGGUGGGGUAAUGGCCUACCAAGGCGUCGACGGGUAGCCGGCCUGAGAGGGUGGACGGCAACAGGGGGACAGAGAAACGGCCCAGACACCAAGGGGGGGAAGAAGGGGGGAAUAUGGCAAAAUGGGGGAAAGCCUGAGGCAGGGACGCCGGGGGGGGGAGGACGGCCUUGGGGGUGUAAACUCCUGUAAGCCAUGACGAAGCCCUUGGGGUGACGGGAGGGGUAGAAGAAGCACCGGCUAACUACGG
Molecule: ribosomal RNA, 468 nt
Filed under: uncultured bacterium
Lineage: Bacteria
Description: partial 16S ribosomal RNA
Rfam family: Bacterial small subunit ribosomal RNA
Source: RNAcentral